AUACAGGUCCUCUGACAGUCUGCAUGAGGACCCCCCAAUGACUGUAUGGAGGGGGGUCCGGGUCACAGAUCAGCUGUACACCAGCACAGAGACCCGAUGGGUGCAGGCAGAGACUCCGCUGAGUCUCUGUUGCAGAGACUCCACCGUCUCUGACAGUUCUGUGCCUGGCCUGUGCUUUUGAACAGCGAGCCUGUUCUCGCAUCCUGCACCAGGAGACCCCACAGGUGGGGACGCUCUCAAGGAGACUUAGAGUGUCUUUGUUUGUGUCUGUUGUCAUACCGUGGUCAUCACGCUAUAUGAGGUUCAUCAUCUCAUUCACUGGGUAAGAGUGGGAUGGUGUUGAGCAGAGCAACCCUGUAGCAGGCUGACGUACGAGACGACAGACCAAUCAGUCUCUAUGGUCAGGAGAAGCGCAGUGGUCAAGUAUCUGUGGGAUGAUUAACAUUUGUUUUUCUUUUUUCUCUUUUAGGUGUGGCCAGGUCUGACAGAAUAUCCUGAUUUCUCCGAUGAAGUGACACCUGAAUGGUGGUACGACAACUUGCAGAAGUUCCAUGUGGCGUUUGAUGGGUUAUGGAUUGACAUGAAUGAGCCAUCAAACUUCUUGGAUGGAUCGACCAAUGGCUGUCCAUCAAGCCCUCCUAAAAAUUCUCCUUACUCGCCUGGCGUACGUGAGGGUUUGCUGAGAUCUAAAACUCUGUGUGCCAUGGCUCAACAGAAGGAGUUCAUACAUUACAACAUGCACAGUCUCUAUGGACUCAUGGAAGCUAAAGCCUCUGCAAGGUGGCAAUCUAUAACAUACACACACACACACACUUAGCAUGAAAAUAAAAGGUCAUUCAAAAGGUGAUAUUUUCAUCAAUCACGGUGUCCUGCACAGUGGCUGAUGCCACCAAAUCGUCUCUUCUCCUCAGAUGCAGAACACUACCAUCAUCAUUGAAAAAGUGUGUGAUAUUGCUAUACAAACUGUAGGUUAUAUAAACACGGUCGCACAUGCAUUCCCCAGUCAGUGCAAUUUCCUGAACAUAAGUAGGACUAAUUCACCUAUGUGCUUCCAUUAACGAUUGUAUAACAACACAUUUUCACCCCUUAAUACUCCCCUACCAGUUAGCUCAGGCUACCGCUGGUCACUCAGAGCAGGAACGCCCCUAAUUAUGCAAAAUAUUAAACCUUAAAUAAAAAUGAGAUUUACUCCCAUUAUACUACCUCGAACAGUUAAUUAAAUGUUGAUAUGUGGAUUUUAAUAAUUUUGUAGAUGCUAUGUCCAUGUUCUGUUUUUCAAUCUUACCAAUAGCAACAAUGUAUUUUAAUAUGAUGUUCUUCAUGUAGCUCUGUAGUACAAUGGGGUUGACACAAUAUACAGAUCACACGCACUCACAUACUCAUUCCUGGUACUGAUUUUCAUUCCUGUUACCAAAUGUUUUUUUUUCUUCUGAUUAUUCAGUUGUUUCGUCAAAAAUAAAUAAAAUAAACUGUAUGUUUA
Molecule: long non-coding RNA, 1480 nt
Organism: Mugil cephalus (flathead mullet)
Lineage: Eukaryota; Metazoa; Chordata; Actinopteri; Mugiliformes; Mugilidae
Exons: 3
Source: RefSeq, a predicted model, not a curated record